Long non-coding RNA from Capsicum annuum, 6486 nucleotides. RefSeq lists it as uncharacterized. The transcript is spliced from 2 exons. The record is from RefSeq and is a predicted model, not a curated record. Lineage: Eukaryota; Viridiplantae; Streptophyta; Magnoliopsida; Solanales; Solanaceae.
GGGAUUAUGUAAGCUUUACAAUAUUUACAAAGGUCGGGCCCAAAAGUGACCCGACCCAACAAACAUCCAUAUCUCAGACAACAAAUCCUUAGCCGAUGAAUUUAGGAAAGUAGAAGUAGCUUUCACUCCCUUUAUCUUGCUCUUCAAUCAACCAAUUUGCCAUGACUCUUGAUACUUCCAUGGAAUCUACAGUCGACUACACUAUAGAGAGUUCAACACCUUGCUUCAACUAUGUUCACUUGCUCAAUUACUCAACUGUAUUGUUAUAUUUCUCAAUUUCUUUAACUUUUUUCAUCAAACCAGUGGAUUGAGCUUCAAUUAAAGCUAAUACCACCACUUAAUCUAAGAAGUCAGUCAAGAAAACUGUAAAAAGCAAUGCUUUGAUCCGUGAAAUUGUGUAGCAGGUAUGUAACACCAUAAAUUGGUAGCUUCCAAUAUUGUUUGAAUACUCCAAUCAGUCGACACCUCAAGCUCCUACCAGGUGUAGAUCUUCGUAUUCAAGGAACUCACUUCAAACAAGGUAUUAUCAUCUCUUUGGUUGCUACAACUUUCGAUGAUUUUGUAACCCCCUUUACACUUUUUUACUGUUAAAGGUCUUAUUUAUGACAUUCCUGCUUGGUGAAUCUUCAAUUUCAUCCUGAUUGUUACAUAUACUUUAUUGUGAGUAUUUCUUCCGUUGUUACUCUUUCGUCUACACCCUCCGCUGAUGGAUUGAGUUUCAUUGGAAACUAAUACCACCACCAACUGAAAGUGUAGAUUUAAGAAAAAUAACAUCUCAUACAUACCAUUAUGAUGUUUGGUUUCGUAUGCUACCAAACUUACUCUAUUAAAAAUAUUUCUACCUUUAAAAUUAUAUGAAUCGACCUUUAAUAGGUAUAUCCCUCUUAUUCAUAUUGUAGCUUAUAUUAAUGCUUAGCGUAACCAGUGCAUAGUCAGUAUUCCUUGUCUUGGUGUUAUGAAUCGUAAACUAUCCGUCGAAAGCUCGGUGUUCCUAUUUUAUCUAUGUUUAAUAUUCUUAUUUCUUUUAUUGGUACCUCUCUAUAAUUACUGAAUUGAAAAUCACUUUCAAAUCAAAAAGAUAGGUUAGUAAAAAAAUCAGUAAGAGUAUUACCCUCCCUAAGAAAAUGUACUAUUCUCACUGAUAUACAGUCAUGAUGGCUUUAAUGGAUUUGACCUCCAUUGUCACACUUCAUUGAACAUCCCACUCAUCAUUUAAAAUUUUCACCAUUGUACAAGAGUCUAUCUCCACCACAAUCUUCUGAAUAUCAUUUUCUUUGCAGAAAAUUAAGCACUUUCUAAUAGCAAUAGCAUCUAUUACCAAACUUGCAGUGCCUUGAAUUCUAAAUCCUUUAUUAACUAUGUAUUCCCCUUCCCACUUUCUAAUGCAGAAUGCAAUAGAACUAGGGCCUGGAUAUCCUUUUAUAGUGCCAUCAGUAUUCACUUUAAGCCACCUAUUACUAAGGAAAACCCAUUUCACAACUCUAAAUGAAUAUGAGUUCCUGUAGCAUUGUGAUGAAUCAAUGAUGUUAGCCUAAUCCUUUACUGGAAUCUCCAUUUUAAACCUGUACUUGAUGAAUCUAAUAAUUUCAGCAUCAACUUCCCAAAAAAUCUUCCUCUCAUGAUAAUCGUCUCCAUGAAGAAUAGUGUUUCUUUUCUUCCACAAAAGCUUAGGAAUCAGUAUAGGAACCACAUUAAUCACAGACUUUAUUCUUCAAUUACCUUUCUGAUUUCUCCAUAGUCUGACACUUUGUUUUAAAUUGAACCUUUGAUCUAUGAUACCAGCAUCUCCAUUGUAAUUGGACCACACUUUAUCAACAACCUCAUUAUUUAAAAAUAAAUGCUCUAUAGUUUCCCUUUCUGGAUUUAUGCAGCAUCUAGAAGUAGUAGUAACUUCAAAAUUCCAUGCAUUCAUUGAGACAACUACAAGAACCAAACCUACAAAAACCCUCCGAGAAAGAAAAGAGUUCUUAAAAGGCAACCCUUUGUACCAAAUAGCUUUUAGAUCUUCAUUAACAUCAGCUCAUUUUCUUAAUACCUCCCAGCAUUCUUAGUGGUGAAUUUGCCAUUGCUAUUCUUUAUCCACCAAGAUCUAUCCAUCAUGUUCUCAUAUAGAAGAGGUUCCAUAUUUUUCUUGAGAUGAUCCAAGAUAUAACUUAGGACUACCUCCUGUAUUUUUUUAAAAGCCCACCAUUCUUAAUUCAUAAGCUCAUUAAUAUCCUUUAAAAGAUGGCAAGUGAACAUCAGUAGGGUGCAAAUAAUGGACCAAUGUUGGUCCAGUUCUCAAACCAUAUAGAUGAAGUGCCACUCAUUGGUUCCCACCAAAGGAAUUGUUCAUUUUCUCCCUACUAUUCAACAUAUCUUUCCACACUUGAGAACCCCCUAUCCAUUGCAAUAAAGUUGGAAUUUAUAUUUUACGGUACUUGUUCCAAAGGAAAUUAGUCCAUAAAUUAUUUGUCCUGAAUAUCUAUCACAACUUAGCAUGCAUAGUUUGGAACAUAUCUUCAAUGAAUCUAAACCCUAAUCCACCAUCUUCUUUGGGUAGAAAGACCUUGUCCCAAGCAGACUAGUGUUUGCUUUUUCAUGUGUCUUUAUUAUGCCAAAAGAAUUUAGCAAAAAUUCUUUGUAAGUCAUUCACCAUACUUUUAGGGAUAAGGAUAGUUGAUAUAAUGUAAAUGGGGAUGCUUUGUAGAAUACUUUAUAGCGAUACUUCCUUCCCGACAUAUGAUAAGAGCCUACCCUUCCAGGCCUAUAGCUUAUUCCUGACUUUAUUCAUCAAAUAUAAAAAGUAUUCCUUCUGGUUCUUUGAAUAGGAAAUGGGACAACCAAGGUAUUUUAGAGAAAAGUACCUUUAGCAAUCCCUGUGAUUUGUUCCACCCACUACAUCCUACCCCUAGAGGUAUUAUGGUGCAUAUAGAAAAAACUUUUAUCCUUGUUCACCUUCUGCCUAGAUUUCUGCACAUAUUUCUAUAAAAUCAUUAUUGUUUUUCCAAUAGAAUAGUCAUUAGAGGAAUAAAAAAUGAUAGUGUCACCAGCAUAUGUCAAUUGGUUCAUUUUUUAGCUCCACUUAGGCAUACCAUAUCACAUAAAGGAAUCAUCCUCAAGAAGAUGAUUAAGAGCCCUUGUCAACACCUCAACAGAUAAUAUAAAGAGAAUAGGUGACAAGAGAUCUCCUUGUUUCACUUUCCUUGUAUAAUGGAAAAAACCUAUUAAUUUCCAUUUAAUAACACUAAGUAGUAGUUAUUUGAGAUCAGUCUCCAAAUUAUAUCGACUACUCGAUUAGAGAAUCCUAUUUUCAUGAGAACUUUCAUAAAAGAAUAUCAAAAGACUCUGUCAUAAGCUUUAGCCAUAUCAAGUUUAAGAACCAUAUUAGGAGGUUUACCUCUUUUCUCAAAAUCAGUAACCAACUUUUGUGUUAGCAACACAUUUUUAAACAAUAUUUCUCCCUUUCACAAAACCUGAUUGAUUAGGAAAUAUCAGUCUAGGCAAAAUGAUUUCCAAUUUAUUAUGAAUAAUUCUUGAUAGUAGUUUAUUCACAAAAUUACUCAAACUAAUUAGUCUCAAGUCUAAAAAGGAUUGAACAGUAUCCUUUUUUGGGAUGCGAACCAAGUUAGUAUGAGUAAUUGAUUUUGGAAGGAUAUUUUAUGAAAAGAAAUCCAGCACCAGUCUGAUAACAUCCAACCUAACAAUGGCCUAACAAUAUUUGUAAAACCUCUGGAAGCCCAUCAGGACCAUAAUCACUAUCCCCAUUUAAACUAAAGACAACCUUUUCAAUCUCUUCUUCAUCAGGGAAAGCCCCUAAAAUAUCAUUAUUUUCUUCUAUGACCAUCUCUGGAAUAUGAUCAAGAAGAGAGAAGUCAGAUGUACCCCUAUCUUAAGUGAAUUGCUUUUGAUAAAAUUAAUAGCUUCAUUGGCAAUUUUAUCCUUCUCUUCUAACCAGAAACCCUAUUUAUCAAGAAUUCUAAACACCUUGAGUCUAUUUAUCCUCCCUCUCAUAAUACCAUAAAAGAAUCUUAUAAAACUAUCACCACUUUCAAACCAUUCAUACGCUGCCUUUUAUUGUCAAAAACUCUCCUCUAAAUUAAAAUAUAUGAUGUAUUUAGCCUUGGCCUUUUUACAUUACGACCCUAUUUUCCUGAGAAUGAUAAUCUUCAAAUAGUUUUUUUAAUCUUGGCUAUCUUUUCUCUAAUUAUCAGCAGCUAAAAAAUAUCCCCGUAUGCUUGCCUACUAAACAAAGUGAAAGCCUUUUUCACCUGCUUACACUUUAUUUUGAAGUCCAAAACUAGAUUUCAGUAUUGUUAGUAUCCCAAUUCCUUCUUACAACCUCUAGAAAGUAUGCAUGUUCAGUCCAAAACUUUAUAAAUUUAAAGGGUCUAAGAAAUCUGCUUGUUCUAUUCUCGUACUUCAGCAAUAAAGGAGCAUCAUCUGACCUAUCUCUAUGUAAAUGUUCAACCUAUACAUGGAAGAAACAAUUUUGAAAAAAAUAAUUGGUGAAACAUCUAUCAAGCCUCUCAAAUAUGCAAUCAUCUCCUGCUCUACUAUUCCACCAUGUAAAGAGGCUACCUUGUAUAGUACUUAUGUCAAAUCACAGGAUCCAACACAAUGAUGAAAAUCUUCUACAUCUUCAAGUACCAUUGGUAACCCCCAAAUUUUUUCUGCACCAUUUAAAACAACAUUAAUAUCACCCCCUAUUAUCCAUGGUAUGUUGAGGUCAUUGGCUAUAGAGUGAGUAUUCUCCCACAACUCCAAUCUCUGACUUUUAUCACACUUAGCACAAACAACUAUCACCAUAAAUGAGUUACCACUCACUUGAUCACUCAACAACAUGGAGAGUUAUUGAUCAGUAUCACUAACAACUAUAGCAUUAAAUCCAUGGUUCACAAAGAACAAAAUUUUACCAUUACAAUUAUGAAAAACUAGAGGCAUCUAAAUUCUGUUCUUAUAUAUGUUGGUAGUUUUGAUAUGGUGAAAAGGCUCUGAUAAACCUAUGAAAGUAAAUUGAAACCCAUAGAACAUCUGAAUUCUCUAAAAAUCCCUUUGUGAAUUUAUAGAUCUGAUAUUCCACAUAAUGACCUUCAUUAUCAAUUUGCCUUUUGGUUCACUAUAUUUCUCUUUAGUUGGGUUCUGGCUGGUAGUGAAGCCUCCUUAGUACCAUAUUUCUUCCUUCUUCUUGCUGCUUUGAUUGAUUUGAUUUCUUUUGGUGAUAAAUCAGCAUCCAUACUAAUGUUAUCUUCAAGCUGAACUAAUUUCUCCUUACCAUCUUCUAUUUCUGCAUAAAUUUCCAUCUCCUCAAGAUUAUGAGUCAAUAUAUUAUGUAACACAUCAUUGGGACAAUCAACUACACCACUCCAAAUUGGAGUUGCAUCAAUAGCUAAUGAGGAAUCCAUAAUAGAUAGUUUACUAUUCCCUGUAGUUGAUAAACUCCUUUUAUUAUUGGUAACUGUUGUUACAUCUUGCUCGUUUUGAUUAUUAAAUCCUAUGACUUUUGCAAGUUCUAGUUGUUCAUCACUACCAUCGUAUUAAGAAUUAUCUUCUAGAGUAAUCAAGGUAUGAUCAUUACCCUUAUCCUCCUCUAUUGCUAGCUUAAUAUUAGAGCUAAUGUUCGUAUUAGAUUCCAUUGCUUUGUGCAUAUCGGGACGAGCUUGCAUAUCUUCUUCACCCUUUGAAAAAUUAUCUACAUUAUUGUAUAAGGUAUCAUCUCCCUUUUCUACUGCUUCUAAUUAUUCAUUAUUUGUACUAUUACUCAUAUUUGUCUCCAAUUUCUUCAUUGCACAGGGCUCCUAAGGUUCUCCACUGAUAGAGUUGAAUUAAGCUCUUUUUCAUGAAAAGACUUGGAUAUCCAGUUCGUUGUAGUUUUAUUUUUAUCCUAUUCCUCAUUUAUCUCAUUAUUUUGAUCUUUGUUUUGUAAUGUAUUAAUGUCCUUUGUUGCUCUUGUGUGAUCCUCUCCUUUUUCUGUCAAAGUUGUAGGUUACAUAUCCCUUUAUCUGGUGCUCUGGCCUUCUCACUAAGGUAAUCUUCUUCUUAUUGGGUUCCACUAUCGAUUAGGUCCAUAUCUCCUUUCAAUUAACCUCUGGUAGGGCUAGCUUCAACCUCUUCCUGUUGAGAGUUAUUCUCUUUCUCUACUUUCUGCCAUUGUGCUUGUUUUAGUUCAAGGUGAAGGACCCUACAAUCCUGCUCAUUAUGUCCUUGCAGUAUACACGUCUUACAAUAUAUAGGUAGACCUAAAGAUUUUUCUAUAGACGGAAUUAUGUAUGAUGCAAAUACCAAGUAUAAAAGAUUGCUAAAUGCAAUAGCAAAACAACUCAAGAUCGACAUCAACUCAAUUCAAAUUAUCUGUAUUAUAUUUGUAGGUAGACCUAAAGAUUUUUCUAUAGACGGAAUUAUGUAUGAUGCAAAUACCAAGUAUAAAAGAUUGCUAAAUGCAAUAGCAAAACAACUCAAGAUCGACAUCAACUCAAUUCAAAUUUGAGAUUAAGUUCUUCAUUGAUA